UCCCCACCCAGGGGGUGUUCUUCCCCAGAACCUCUAGCAGGGAACCGGCGCAGAAGAAAGUUCAGAAAACCCGGCUGGUUACCCUAGACUCACGCCGUCACCCCAGCAGGAAAUGUGACCAGGGAGCAGGGGUGUGGCUCCCCAGAGGGGCCCGAGGGGUGCGGUGGGGGGCUUUCCCCAGGGCUCCCAGGGGACUGACCCCGGCCCAGGGAGGGCGAGGGAUGGAGGAGCCACUAUUCCAGCGCUCCCCCCGCUCCGGGAGUGCCUGGAGUAGCGGCUUCGGGGCAGAGGAGGAAGUCGCAGGAAGGCAGAAACCACGCGCCAGGCCAAAAGGAGGAGAUAGGAGAACAACCUGAUCGCAGCUCCCUCCAGCUUGACUCAGACAGCCUCCCCCGCGCCUCGGCCUCCACCUGCCUCCCCCGCGAACUGGGCUCUGCGUCUAGAGCCUCAGCCUCUGCCACCCACCAAGGCUGCACCGGGUCACAGAUGCCAGGAUUGAGCCCGCACAGCUGGCUGUUCAAACCCCAAACCCUUCGUGCCCCGCAGCCAGGAGCUUUCCGCCCCUACAACACAGCCCCACCCCGCCGCCCACUCCUGAGAGCCUCAACUUCCAGCCUUGCCUGGAGCGGCUAACCCCCACCCAGAUCAUGCACACCCCAGCUUCUGUGCUCUUCCUCCCGGGACCGGACCGGGAUCUUCCUCCUUUCUGCCUCUCAGAGCCUUCCUGAGCAAAGACAUUCCCUGAGGACUGGCUGGAGAAGGGUUCUUCGUGGCUUUUGGUUGGUGGUCCAGGUGGAUACUCGGUAUCAGCUGCACCCCAGCCUGCUGCUGUGGAGCUAGAGGAAUGCUGGUCUUCUGGCUGUGGCUCCUCCCAGCCUGCUAUUUUAUGUAUUGUUUUCAUUAUUAUUAUUUUUUUCUUUUUUUUCCGACGGAGUCUUCCUCUGUCACCAGACUGGAGUGCAGCGUUGACAUCUCAGCUCACUGCAACUUACACCUCCCCGGUCCAAGUGAUUCUCCUGUGUCAGCCUCCCGAGAACCUGGGAUUACAGGUCACCCCACCCUACCUCAAACGACCAUGGCAGGACAAACAGCUGCCAGCAACUGGGGCCAUCGCCUGGCAGCUCACACACCUGUCAGCAUGCCCACCUGCUUGACUGGCCCUGUCACAACUUCUGGGCACUCCUCCACGCUCCCGCAGCCUGCUACCUGCCCCGUGGCAUGGGGCCCUCCUCAUUAUGCUGUUUUCGCGCCUGGACAGACAAACAGCUGGUGGCCAGGGUGA
Molecule: long non-coding RNA, 1282 nt
Filed under: Callithrix jacchus (white-tufted-ear marmoset)
Lineage: Eukaryota; Metazoa; Chordata; Mammalia; Primates; Cebidae
Description: lncRNA (ENSCJAG00000080119.1)
Source: RNAcentral